Molecule: long non-coding RNA, 242 nt
Filed under: Linum usitatissimum (flax)
Lineage: Eukaryota; Viridiplantae; Streptophyta; Magnoliopsida; Malpighiales; Linaceae
Description: long non-coding RNA (LUSI_LNC000896)
Source: RNAcentral
ACCUUAACUGAUAUCUGCAAGAAGCAAUCAGAUGAAUACAUUGGCCCAUAUGUUAGAACUUAGAUACCUGACUACUGUUUAAGGAUGAGAAAAUAACAGCUAAGAACCAAGAUUGUGAAUAAGAUGAACUCCAAUUAUAAUAUGGAGUCAGAAGGGGAAAAGAAAACCAGGAUUAAAUAGCUUUGCAAAAUGAACCGUCUAUGAACCUAAAAGCAACCCUUUGUCUGUAAAGUAGCAGAAUU